GAUGAACGCUGGCGGCGUGCCUAAUACAUGCAAGUCGAGCGAACGGACGAGAAGCUUGCUUCUCUGAUGUUAGCGGCGGACGGGUGAGUAACACGUGGAUAACCUACCUAUAAGACUGGGAUAACUUCGGGAAACCGGAGCUAAUACCGGAUAAUAUUUUGAACCGCAUGGUUCAAAAGUGAAAGGCGGUCUUGCUGUCACUUAUAGAUGGAUCCGCGCUGCAUUAGCUAGUUGGUAAGGUAACGGCUUACCAAGGCAACGAUGCAUAGCCGACCUGAGAGGGUGAUCGGCCACACUGGAACUGAGACACGGUCCAGACUCCUACGGGAGGCAGCAGUAGGGAAUCUUCCGCAAUGGGCGAAAGCCUGACGGAGCAACGCCGCGUGAGUGAUGAAGGUCUUCGGAUCGUAAAACUCUGUUAUUAGGGAAGAACAUAUGUGUAAGUAACUGUGCACGUCUUGACGGUACCUAAUCAGAAAGCCACGGCUAACUACGUG
This 497-nucleotide ribosomal RNA is filed under the name uncultured bacterium. Its description in RNAcentral is "partial 16S ribosomal RNA". It matches the Rfam family "Bacterial small subunit ribosomal RNA", at positions 28 to 507 of the family's 1533-position model. The record is from RNAcentral.